CGUCGACGGGUAGCCGGCCUGAGAGGGUGACCGGCCACACUGGGACUGAGACACGGCCCAGACUCCUACGGGAGGCAGCAGUGGGGAAUAUUGCACAAUGGGCGAAAGCCUGAUGCAGCAACGCCGCGUGAGGGAUGACGGCCUUCGGGUUGUAAACCUCUUUUAGCAGGGAAGAAGCGAAAGUGACGGUACCUGCAGAAAAAGCGCCGGCUAACUACGUGCCAGCAGCCGCGGUAAUACGUAGGGCGCAAGCGUUAUCCGGAAUUAUUGGGCGUAAAGAGCUCGUAGGCGGUUUGUCGCGUCUGCUGUGAAAUCCCGAGGCUCAACCUCGGGCCUGCAGUGGGUACGGGCAGACUAGAGUGCGGUAGGGGAGAUUGGAAUUCCUGGUGUAGCGGUGGAAUGCGCAGAUAUCAGGAGGAACACCGAUGGCGAAGGCAGAUCUCUGGGCCGUAACUGACGCUGAGGAGCGAAAGGGUGGGGAGCAAACAGGCUUAGAUACCCUGGUAGUCCACCCCGUAAACGUUGGGAACUAGUUGUGGGGUCCAUUCCACGGAUUCCGUGACGCAGCUAACGCAUUAAGUUCCCCGCCUGGGGAGUACGGCCGCAAGGCUAAAACUCAAAGGAAUUGACGGGGACCCGCACAAGCGGCGGAGCAUGCGGAUUAAUUCGAUGCAACGCGAAGAACCUUACCAAGGCUUGA
This 700-nucleotide ribosomal RNA is filed under the name Microbacterium ginsengiterrae. RNAcentral describes it as "bacterial SSU rRNA". It matches the Rfam family "Bacterial small subunit ribosomal RNA", at positions 274 to 984 of the family's 1533-position model. The record is from RNAcentral. Lineage: Bacteria; Bacillati; Actinomycetota; Actinomycetes; Micrococcales; Microbacteriaceae.